RNAcentral lists this transfer RNA (73 nucleotides) under Rhodopirellula baltica. RNAcentral describes it as "tRNA-Thr". It matches the Rfam family "tRNA". Rfam says of the family: Transfer RNA (tRNA) molecules are approximately 80 nucleotides in length. Their secondary structure includes four short double-helical elements and three loops (D, anti-codon, and T loops). RNAcentral also lists the same sequence under 3 other names. The record is from RNAcentral. Lineage: Bacteria; Pseudomonadati; Planctomycetota; Planctomycetia; Pirellulales; Pirellulaceae.
GCUAGCGUAGCUCAGUUGGUAGAGCAGCUGAUUUGUAAUCAGCCGGCCGUGGGUUCGAGUCCCUCCGCUAGCU